Molecule: long non-coding RNA, 956 nt
Filed under: Gossypium barbadense (sea-island cotton)
Lineage: Eukaryota; Viridiplantae; Streptophyta; Magnoliopsida; Malvales; Malvaceae
Description: long non-coding RNA (GBAR_LNC004759)
Source: RNAcentral
CUACAAAAACAGAGAGAGCAGCCCCCCCGUUUUCUUUCUCGGCUAGGGUUUCUUAACCCAUCAUCGCCGCCGCCGUGAAACCACCGUAGGUGGUGAUCAGCGUCUACAAAAGGGGGUUGUUUGACCCCAAUUUUGGAGCGCUCGAAGGCCGUAUUCCUUUAGCCUGUGAACCCGAGAGAAAAGAUAUCCUUUUUCUAUGGGAGUCAAUUUCAAUGAUGGAGCAGGAACUCUGACGACGCGACUCCAAGGUUGGGGUAAGUCUCCUUUUCUCUUUUCUUUUUGUUUUUUGUUUAAAACAGAAAACAUAAAACAGGAAAAAGAAGAAGAUGAGAUUCAACCUUUUUUUUUAUUGCUUAAAUCGUGUGUGUAAUAUAAUAUUUCGCGUUUGAGGCUUCUUAUAGCCGAAUACAAAAAAAAAUCUAUUGUUUGCUACUGUUUGGCUCUGCUUUUGCUGUUUUCCUUUCUUUGCCAUGUUUGCAGGUCCAUGGAGGGUCAACGGAUGAGGGAGUUUCCACUUCCGUGCAAGGGCCGUCGAUCCUCGAGCGGAGUACGCUCUGAGGCACUCGGGUGGUGGCUACGGUGCAAGCGAGGCUCAGAAACCCUAGGGUUUCUGAGUUGGCUUAAUGUUUUGGGCUUAUUGGGCCAAUAGAGGUUGGGUUAGGGAUUUUGGGUUGUGUUUGGGCCAUUGUAGAUUGGGUCUGCUUGGUUGUAGUUGGGUAGUGUAGUGGGUUUGGUGAAGUUUGGGCUUAGGUUGGGUAAUUCAGGCCUACUAAUUGUUUGCAAUUUAGACAUUAGACUUAUUAAUUUUUGGGUUUUCUAAAGGGCCGGGCAAAUUUGGGCUCAUACAUUAACAAUAAAUAACUAUUCAAAUGGAUGUAUUUGAAUAGUCACCACUUUUAAUUAAUAAAUUUUUUUUUUAUCAAAAAUGGGCCUAAAGGCCGCCAUCUCGAAUUAAC